Long non-coding RNA from Mastomys coucha (southern multimammate mouse), 1772 nucleotides. RefSeq lists it as uncharacterized. The record is from RefSeq and is a predicted model, not a curated record. The transcript has 2 exons. NCBI's taxonomy places the organism in Eukaryota, Metazoa, Chordata, Mammalia, Rodentia, Muridae.
GCCUGCGCACAGUGCCGCAGACGCUACGUUCCGCUCCACCCUCCCAGCCAAAUCGAAAGAGGAAUGCUAAAGGGUAAUUUAUCCCGCAUUAAUCCUUACAGCAAUCCCACAAGGCUGUGAUGCAGAAGAAAUGAAUGGCAACCGGCACUAACCACAGGCUGAUCAACCCCCCUGGAAUGUUUGCUGAAGAGCAAGGCAGCAGACGCUAGCCCACAGAGGAGCCCUAUCACCAGCCAUCAGCAAAGACCAGACCUGAUGGAGACUGGGAGACAUGCCUGGCAGCUCAGAGACCUUGGGAGCUUUCUGGGGCCUCCAGGCUACUCGUGCUGAGGCAGGGGAGCCAAUUCUCUCUCUCUCUCUCUCUCUCUCUCUCUCUCUCUCUCUCUCUCUCUGUCUUUCUCUCUCUCUCUCUCUCUCUGUGUGUGUGUGUGUGUGUGUGUGUGUGCAUGUGUGUGUGUGAUGGGCACAGUCCUUGGCGGGUAGCAGUACUCUAUAAAAGCUCCUGCCACAUCCAUGACCUUGGCACUAAUGGGAAGCUCCUUUUGUGGACAGAUUACAUGAACUUGAACAAGGAGUUUAGAUAUCAAAUGGCCUCGUAGAGCUGUAAGAGGGGGGGGCCCAGAUGAAUCUUGCUUGAAUGGACAAAUGCUUUCAUGUAAGUAGGAGGUGGAUUAGGUUCUGGAACUGCCUUGUUCCUCUCAAUUUUCCCCACUCUUCCUCCUCUUCCUCUGUUUUCUUUGUGGUGCUGGAGGUGGAUGCCAGGACUUUACAUGUUAGGCAACUGCCCCACCACUAAGCUGCAUACCAGCCUCAGAUGGAAUUUUCUUAAGUAAGGAAGUCCAGGAAAUAUUUCAAAUAGGCAACAGAAUCUAAGAUUUGUCCACAUUGACAAUUCCCAACUCACCAGCCAACCAACAAAUCAACCAACCAGCAGCCAACCAGCAAAUCAACCAGCCAGUUGAACCACCAAGCAACCAGCCAACCAUCUAAACCACCAACCAACCAACUAAGCAGCUGACCCAUAAACCAAAUAGCCAACCAACUGUACAGUCAACCAACCAACCAAUCAAACAACAAGACAACCAAACAAGUAAACAACUAAUGGGAUAACCAUCAAUCAACAACCAAUGAUUCAAUGGACUGAACAACUGAACCAACUGAUCAACCAACCAAUUGAGUAAUUAACCAACCAAACAACCAGUCAUCUAAACAAUGGAGCCACUAAUCAACCAACCAACCAACCAACCAACCAACCAACCAACCAACCAACCAACCAACCAACCAACCAGCCAACCAACCAAUAAACAAACCAAUCCACCAAUCAACUGAACAACCAACCUAGCAUGCAAGCAACUAAGUAACAAAUAACCAAGUAGAACCACUAAUUGAAAUAUUCACUGGGUUGAAAAGAAACCCCUUCUUCCUGUGUUUCUGCCCUCCAUUUCCCCCCAGCUCCAGUAGUGUUGCCUGUUCCUCAGACAGCGCCCUCUUUGCUGGGCCAUUCCACCACUGCCUCUUUCCAUUCCUCUAUAUUGCUGUGCAGGGCACCUCCGUCCCUUGCACUGCUGGUCACAGGUUCCUUCCCUGCAGCCAGUGCACAGACAAUAUGGCUAGAGAGUCAUACGAUAAAGGUCCGGGUCCCUGCUAUCUGACCCUUGAGGAACUCUGUGUGUGUGUGUGUGUGUGUGUGUGUGUGUGUGUAUGUGUGGUUUUGUUUUGUUUCUGUUCUCCCACUUCUCCAGGUGGAGAUAGUAAAUUCCCUGGCUUCCUCA